ACAGUGGUGGUUCAGUGGUAGAAUUUUUGUCUUUCAUGCAGGAAACCCAGCUUCAAUUACCAGCUAAUGCA
Molecule: transfer RNA, 71 nt
Filed under: Loxodonta africana (African savanna elephant)
Lineage: Eukaryota; Metazoa; Chordata; Mammalia; Proboscidea; Elephantidae
Rfam family: tRNA
About the family: Transfer RNA (tRNA) molecules are approximately 80 nucleotides in length.
Source: Rfam by way of RNAcentral